Molecule: ribosomal RNA, 434 nt
Filed under: uncultured Clostridiaceae bacterium
Lineage: Bacteria; Bacillati; Bacillota; Clostridia; Eubacteriales; Clostridiaceae
Description: bacterial SSU rRNA
Rfam family: Bacterial small subunit ribosomal RNA
Source: RNAcentral
ACGGAAGGCAGCAGUGGGGAAUAUUGCACAAUGGGGGAAACCCUGAUGCAGCAACGCCGCGUGAGUGAUGACGGCCUUCGGGUUGUAAAGCUCUGUCUUCAGGGACGAUAAUGACGGUACCUGAGGAGGAAGCCACGGCUAACUACGUGCCAGCAGCCGCGGUAAUACGUAGGUGGCGAGCGUUGUCCGGAUUUACUGGGCGUAAAGGGAGCGUAGGCGGAUUUUUAAGUGAGAUGUGAAAUACUCGGGCUUAACCUGAGUGCUGCAUUCCAAACUGGAAGUCUAGAGUGCAGGAGAGGAGAAGGGAAUUCCUAGUGUAGCGGUGAAAUGCGUAGAGAUUAGGAAGAACACCAGUGGCGAAGGCGCUUCUCUGGACUGUAACUGACGUUGAGGCUCGAAAGCGUGGGGAGCAAACAGGAUUAGAUACCCUGGUA